UCAAGGGCAUGUGGUGCAUGUACACAGUAGAGUAUGGCUCAGCCAUGAAGAAUGAAACUGGCAUUUGCCAGGACAGUGCCAAGUCAAGGGCCAGAUGUCUUCUCACGUGGAGGCAAAGCAAACGGGUGGUCAGUGAGGUGGAGUGGGGAGGGAGGCAGAGUGCAGGGUGGAGGACACAUGCUGUGUGUGAGGCACUGAUGAAAGGCAUGCGGGGUGGAGGAGGGAGACCAGGGCGGCGGGCAGCAGGGCAGGUGUGAUCACGUCCAGCCGGGUGUGGCCGGGUCCAGGUGACCCAGCUGCCGGGUGCAACUGCUGCUCUCCCUACAGAGCCAGCCAGACACUGUGGUGCUCAGGAAAGGCGUGCUCAGUGGUCAGGCACCCUGGAUUCGAUCCCUGUGCAGCCCCCCAAGAAAAAUCCUAAAAAUAGUUCCACAAAAGUGUCCUGCCUCCGAGUCUGGAGUCACUGGGUCACUGGCAUGUGGCACCGUGCAACCUCUGCUCCUAUUCUUGUGAGAGAUGUUUAA
RNAcentral lists this long non-coding RNA (524 nucleotides) under Marmota monax (woodchuck). The record is from RNAcentral. Lineage: Eukaryota; Metazoa; Chordata; Mammalia; Rodentia; Sciuridae.